CAGCAGCCACGGUAAUACGAAGGGUGCAAGCGUUACUCGGAAUUACUGGGCGUAAAGCGUGCGUAGGUGGUGGUUUAAGUCCGUUGUGAAAGCCCUGGGCUCAACCUGGGAAUUGCAGUGGAUACUGGGUCACUAGAGUGUGGUAGAGGAUAGUGGAAUUUCCGGUGUAGCAGUGAAAUGCGUAGAGAUCGGAAGGAACAUCUGUGGCGAAGGCGACUAUCUGGGCCAACACUGACACUGAGGCACGAAAGCGUGGGGAGCAAACAGGAUUAGAUACCCCGGUAGUCCCUGUCUCUUAUAA
Molecule: ribosomal RNA, 301 nt
Filed under: uncultured bacterium
Lineage: Bacteria
Description: partial 16S ribosomal RNA
Rfam family: Bacterial small subunit ribosomal RNA
Source: RNAcentral